Molecule: long non-coding RNA, 137 nt
Organism: Ipomoea triloba (trilobed morning glory)
Lineage: Eukaryota; Viridiplantae; Streptophyta; Magnoliopsida; Solanales; Convolvulaceae
Exons: 2
Source: RefSeq, a predicted model, not a curated record
GCAGGUUGAUAUAUGUUGUUUUGAUAAGACUGGGACGUUGACAUCAGAUGACAUGGAAUUCUCUGGUGUUGGUGGGCUGACAGAUAGUGAAGACUUGGAAAGAGAUAUGAGUAAAGUCCCAAGACGAGCUCUGGAAA